This 387-nucleotide ribosomal RNA is filed under the name uncultured bacterium. Its description in RNAcentral is "bacterial SSU rRNA". It matches the Rfam family "Bacterial small subunit ribosomal RNA", at positions 29 to 417 of the family's 1533-position model. The record is from RNAcentral.
AUUGAACGCUGGCGGCAUGCUUUACACAUGCAAGUCGAACGGUAACAGGCCUUCGGGCGCUGACGAGUGGCGAACGGGUGAGUAACGCAUCGGAACGUGCCCAGUCGUGGGGGAUAACGCAGCGAAAGCUGUGCUAAUACCGCAUACGAUCUGCGGAUGAAAGCGGGGGACCUUCGGGCCUCGCGCGAUUGGAGCGGCCGAUGUCAGAUUAGGUAGUUGGUGGGGUAAAGGCCCACCAAGCCAACGAUCUGUAGCUGGUCUGAGAGGACGACCAGCCACACUGGGACUGAGACACGGCCCCAGACUCCUACGGGAGGCAGCAGUGGGGGAAUUUUGGACAAUGGGCGCAAGCCUGAUCCAGCAAUGCCGCGUGCAGGAAGAAGGCCU